RNAcentral lists this long non-coding RNA (525 nucleotides) under Malus domestica (apple). RNAcentral describes it as "long non-coding RNA (MDOM_LNC019670)". The record is from RNAcentral. Lineage: Eukaryota; Viridiplantae; Streptophyta; Magnoliopsida; Rosales; Rosaceae.
CCGCCGAGGCAUUGAGCAUUUGACGUUCUAGUGGUAGGAGCCCUUUGUAGAAGUAUUGCAAAAGCAAUUCCUCCUUCAUCUGAUGCUGUGGACAAGAAGCAACAAGUGAUUUAAAUCGUUCAUAAUAUGUAGGAAAAGACUCACCUUCAUCUUGUUGAAUUCCACUUAUUUUUUUACGAAGAAGAAUGAUGCGAGAAGUUGGGAAAAAUUUCUCCAGAAACGCCCUCUUCAUACUCUCCCAAGAUGUAACUGUACUGGGAGCCAACUCGUAUAACCAAUCCUUGGCUUUGUCCAUUAAAGAGAAUGGUAAAGCCUUCAUCUUUAAAAUACUUCCGUCAACGGUAACCGGAGUCAUACUUGAGCACACCACUUCAAUUCUUUCAAAUGUUUGUUCGGAUCCUCCAUGGACAGCCCAUGGAACUUUGGAAUGUGGUGGAGCAAACUUGACUUUAACUCAAACUCUUCGGUUUUACCUUGAGCAGCCAUGGGAUAUUGGAUACACAAUGGUGCGGCAUUAUCCAAACC